AGCUCCAGUAGCGUAUAUUAACGUUGUUGCAGUUAAAAAGCUCGUAGUUGGAUUUCUGGCCUGGUGCGCCUGAUCCACUUCUCUUUUAAGGGGAUGUGUGUAUCGGAUAGCGCGCCUGCCAUCCUUCUGGAAAGUACGCCUACCCUUCACUGGGCCGGGUGUGCAAUCUGGAUCUUUUACUUUGAAAAAAUUAGAGUGUUUCAAGCAGGCAUUAUGCUGUGAAUACAUUAGCAUGGAAUAAUAAGAUAGGACUUCGGCUCUAUUUUGUUGGUUUCUAGGACUGAAGUAAUGAUUGAUAGGGAUAGUUGGGGGUGCUAGUAUUUAACGGCCAGAGGUGAAAUUCAUGGAUUCGUUAAAGACUAACUAAUGCGAAAGCAUUCACCAAGGAUGUCUUCUUUAA
RNAcentral lists this ribosomal RNA (400 nucleotides) under phytoplankton environmental sample. RNAcentral's name for it is "partial small subunit ribosomal RNA". It matches the Rfam family "Eukaryotic small subunit ribosomal RNA", at positions 587 to 976 of the family's 1831-position model. The record is from RNAcentral.